UGAGUUUACGCUCUACAACCCUUUGUGAACAUACCUAUAACUGUUGCUUCGGCGGGUAGGGUCUCCGUGACCCUCCCGGCCUCCCGCCCCCGGGCGGGUCGGCGCCCGCCGGAGGAUAACCAAACUCUGAUUUAACGACGUUUCUUCUGAGUGGUACAAGCAAAUAAUCAAAACUUUUAACAACGGAUCUCUUGGUUCUGGCAUCGAUGAAGAACGCAGCGAAAUGCGAUAAGUAAUGUGAAUUGCAGAAUUCAGUGAAUCAUCGAAUCUUUGAACGCACAUUGCGCCCGCCAGCAUUCUGGCGGGCAUGCCUGUUCGAGCGUCAUUUCAACCCUCAAGCUCUGCUUGGUGUUGGGGCCCUACAGCUGAUGUAGGCCCUCAAAGGUAGUGGCGGACCCUCCCGGAGCCUCCUUUGCGUAGUAACUUUACGUCUCGCACUGGGAUCCGGAGGGACUCUUGCCGUAAAACCCCCAAUUUUCCAAAGGUUGACCUCGGAUCAGGUAGGAAUACCCGCUGAACUUAAGCAUAUCAAUAAGCGGAGGAAAAGAAACCAACAGGGAUUGCCUCAGUAACGGCGAGUGAAGCGGCAACAGCUCAAAUUUGAAAUCUGGCCCUAGGCCCGAGUUGUAAUUUGCAGAGGAUGCUUUUGGUGCGGUGCCUUCCAAGUUCCCUAGAACGGGACGCCAGAGAGGGUGAGAGCCCCGUACAGUUGGACACCAAGCCUUUGUAAAGCUCCUUCGACGAGUCGAGUAGUUUGGGAAUGCUGCUCAAAAUGGGAGGUAUAUUUCUUCUAAAGCUAAAUACCGGCCAGAGACCGAUAGCGCACAAGUAGAGUGAUCGAAAGAUGAAAAGCACUUUGAAAAGAGGGUUAAACAGCACGUGAAAUUGUUAAAAGGGAAGCGCUUGUGACCAGACUUGCGUCCGGUGAAUCACCCAGCUCUCGCGGCUGGGGCACUUCGCCGGCUCAGGCCAGCAUCAGCUCGCUGUCGGGGACAAAAGCUUCAGGAACGUAGCUCUCUUCGGGGAGUGUUAUAGCCUGUUGCAUAAUACCCUUCGGCGGGCUGAGGUACGC
RNAcentral lists this non-coding RNA (1072 nucleotides) under fungal endophyte. RNAcentral's name for it is "eukaryotic LSU rRNA". The stretch from base 487 to 1072 matches the Rfam family "Eukaryotic large subunit ribosomal RNA", at positions 1 to 598 of the family's 3401-position model. The record is from RNAcentral. Lineage: Eukaryota; Fungi. RNAcentral also lists the same sequence under 1 other name.